CUCUCCUUUACGCUCAUUAGUUUAAGUCUGAUGCCCUGUUCUUGCGGCGUGGGAUGAUCGAUUGGUGCCUCCUGUUUUGCCUUUUUUGUGACGCGAUCUCGCAGCAAAGAUGAUUUUGAUGGCGAGGAGGUAUGGGCAGGAGCGAGUUUGGUUUUCUCCCUCGUGGAAGUGCCCUUGUUCUUGCCCAGGAACGGUGAUGAUUCGACAGAAAAUCAGCGCAAUCCAAGUCUUGUUGUGAGUUUGAUGAUCGUGGUCUUCGCAUCAAGCGAUGGCUGAUACGUUGACAUCACUGAGAGCUUGCGACGAUUUGGCUGAGAAAAGGCGAAUCUGAGUUCUUCCCUCUUUGAUUUAGCUAGGGCAGGCGAUCUCCUAGAACUUUCUCAAGUGUUCUUCGUGCUUUGCGUCUCGCCUAGAGUUUACUUCACAGAUUCUUCCUCUCUCCUUACCGAAAUGCUUACGUAUUUUCUUCCAUUGGUGAGGUCAAGGGGCCUGUAACAUUUUCAUGCAUCUCUGGGUCGCUUUUCUUUCUUUUUUUUUCACUAAUUCUACAACCAUAGAUCGUUUUGGACGAAGCGGGCGAACUUUUUAAUGGUGUAGUAAAUAAGCACCACACCAUGAGGUUAUUUACACAUGUCUACAAACAACCAACCUUCAGCGUGUAAUAAGAUCCAGAAAAUAAAACUAAAGAGCCUGUGCUCAUUCAUCUUAUGUCCA
Molecule: long non-coding RNA, 714 nt
Organism: Selaginella moellendorffii
Lineage: Eukaryota; Viridiplantae; Streptophyta; Lycopodiopsida; Selaginellales; Selaginellaceae
Exons: 2
Source: RefSeq, a predicted model, not a curated record